Molecule: microRNA precursor, 75 nt
Filed under: Myotis brandtii (Brandt's bat)
Lineage: Eukaryota; Metazoa; Chordata; Mammalia; Chiroptera; Vespertilionidae
Description: mir-9193 microRNA precursor family
Rfam family: mir-9193 microRNA precursor family
Source: Rfam by way of RNAcentral
CUCGGGGGGGAGGGGUUCCCUUAGCCCGGAUUGUAAGAGGGCACAGGCCAGGCCAAGGGACCCCACCUGUGCAUG